GGGGGCGUCCUGGUUUCGACGGGGUGGUUGAAGUCCAGGCUGCAUGCCGAGGAAUCCUGGUUGGCCUCGUAAAAAAUCCGGGAAAAACGUCAACUGCCAACGAUAUGGCUCUCGCGGCUUAAUUGAAGCCACGCGCGCUCCCGCUGACGCCUGCUGGGCGGUGUAGCGCGACAAGAGCAGGACCCGCCCGCCGCUGGGUGACCGAACGGUGGAGCCUGUACCAACGUGGCCGCUGGCCCCGGGGCGCGUCUGUCCGCCGUCUUUCCCCGGAGCGAGACUCAGACGACGGAACAAGCAUGUAGAUGUCUGGGUGACUCCAUUUCGGACGGGGGUUCGAUUCCCCCCGCCUCCACCA
RNAcentral lists this transfer-messenger RNA (355 nucleotides) under bovine gut metagenome. It matches the Rfam family "transfer-messenger RNA". Rfam says of the family: Bacterial tmRNA, also known as 10Sa RNA or SsrA, is named for its dual tRNA and mRNA-like properties. The record is from RNAcentral.